CUGUGUGUCAAGUUGACAAGGG
Molecule: unclassified non-coding RNA, 22 nt
Filed under: Mus musculus (house mouse)
Lineage: Eukaryota; Metazoa; Chordata; Mammalia; Rodentia; Muridae
Description: oocyte_clustered_small_RNA12069
Source: RNAcentral